This 253-nucleotide long non-coding RNA is filed under the name Phoenix dactylifera (date palm). RNAcentral's name for it is "long non-coding RNA (PDAC_LNC016967)". Lineage: Eukaryota; Viridiplantae; Streptophyta; Magnoliopsida; Arecales; Arecaceae. The record is from RNAcentral.
GACUUUGGGUUUGAGGUGGGUCAUGAUGGUUGACUUGUCCUUGAGCCCAUUGUCAUUUAAUUCUUGCUAAGCUGCUUCAGAUCGAACUCGACCAGACAAGACUAAAACCCAAACCGUGACCUAAUAAAAAGGGUUAAUUAAACCUUUGCCCCAUACAUAAUUAAUUAUAACUUUCGAUCGAAUCAGGACCAAAACCCAUUUAAUUAUAGCCUUAGCUUGAUUACAACUCUAUUAGGUUACCAAAUCGGGUCAA